Molecule: ribosomal RNA, 286 nt
Filed under: uncultured Actinomycetales bacterium
Lineage: Bacteria; Bacillati; Actinomycetota; Actinomycetes; Actinomycetales
Description: partial 16S ribosomal RNA
Rfam family: Bacterial small subunit ribosomal RNA
Source: RNAcentral
GGAUGAGCCCGCGGCCUAUCAGCUUGUUGGUGGGGUAGUGGCCUACCAAGGCGACGACGGGUAGCCGGCCUGAGAGGGUGACCGGCCACACUGGGACUGAGACACGGCCCAGACUCCUACGGGAGGCAGCAGUGGGGAAUAUUGCGCAAUGGGCGAAAGCCUGACGCAGCGACGCCGCGUGGGGGAUGACGGCCUUCGGGUUGUAAACCUCUUUCAGCAGGGACGAAGCGGAAGUGACGGUACCUGUNCCNAGAAGCACCGGCCAGCUACGUGCCAGCAGCCGCGA